GUUUGAUCCUGGCUCAGGAUGAACGCUGGCGGCGUGCCUAAUACAUGCAAGUCGAACGCUUCACUUCGGUGAAGAGUGGCGAACGGGUGAGUAAUACAUAAGUAACCUGGCAUCUACAGGGGGAUAACUGAUGGAAACGUCAGCUAAGACCGCAUAGGUGUAGAGAUCGCAUGAACUCUAUAUGAAAAGUGCUACGGGACUGGUAGAUGAUGGACUUAUGGCGCAUUAGCUUGUUGGUAGGGUAACGGCCUACCAAGGCGACGAUGCGUAGCCGACCUGAGAGGGUGAACGGCCACAUUGGAACUGAGACACGGUCCAGACUCCUACGGGAGGCAGCAGUAGGGAAUUUUCGGCAAUGGGGGAAACCCUGACCGAGCAACGCCGCGUGAAGGAAGAAGUAAUUCGUUAUGUAAACUUCUGUCAUAGAGGAAGAACGGUGGAUAUAGGGAAUGAUAUCCAAGUGACGGUACUCUAUAAGAAAGCCACGGCUAACUACGUGCCAGCAGCCGCGGUAAUACGUAGGUGGCGAGCGUUAUCCGGAAUUAUUGGGCGUAAAGAGGGAGCAGGCGGCACUAAGGGUCUGUGGUGAAAGAUCGAAGCUUAACUUCGGUAAGCCAUGGAAACCGUAGAGCUAGAGUGUGUGAGAGGAUCGUGGAAUUCCAUGUGUAGCGGUGAAAUGCGUAGAUAUAUGGAGGAACACCAGUGGCGAAGGCGACGAUCUGGCGCAUAACUGACGCUCAGUCCCGAAAGCGUGGGGAGCAAAUAGGAUUAGAUACCCUAGUAGUCCACGCCGUAAACGAUGAGUACUAAGUGUUGGGUGUCAAAGCUCAGUGCUGCAGUUAACGCAAUAAGUACUCCGCCUGAGUAGUACGUUCGCAAGAAUGAAACUCAAAGGAAUUGACGGGGG
Molecule: ribosomal RNA, 907 nt
Filed under: human gut metagenome
Description: bacterial SSU rRNA
Rfam family: Bacterial small subunit ribosomal RNA
Source: RNAcentral